CGGGGGUACACGAGCGGCGGAAGGGUCAGUAAUGCGUGGAUUAUCUACCCCUGGAUCGAGGACAACCGUGCUAACGCGCGGCUAAUACUCGAUAACGUCCCAGGACCAAAGGUGUGAUUCCGUCCGGGGAUGAGUCCACGUCCUAUUAGCUAGUUGGUGAGGUAAUGGCUCACCAAGGCCAAGAUGGGUAGCAGGUGUGAGAGCACGACCUGCGACACUGGGACUGAGAUACUGCCCAGACACCUACGGGUGGCUGCAGUCGAGAAUCUUCUGCAAUGGGCGAAAGCCUGACAGAGCGACGCCGCGUGCGGGAUGAAGGCCUUCGGGUUGUAAACCGCUGUCAGUGGGGAGCAAAUUACUAGGGGUUCUCCCCUAGUAUUGAGCGAUCCGCAGAGGAAGCAGAGGCUAAGUUCGUGCCAGCAGCCGCGGUAAGACGAACCCUGCAAACGUUAUUCGGAAUUACUGGGCUUAAAGAGUCCGUAGGCGGCGCGUUAGGUGGGGUGUGAAAUCCCUCGGCCCAACCGAGGAAUUGCGCUCCAAACCGGCGUGCUUGAGGAAGGUAGAGGUGAGCGGAACUGAUGGUGGAGCGGUGAAAUGCGUUGAUAUCAUCAGAACACCGG
RNAcentral lists this ribosomal RNA (620 nucleotides) under uncultured bacterium. RNAcentral describes it as "bacterial SSU rRNA". It matches the Rfam family "Bacterial small subunit ribosomal RNA", at positions 82 to 712 of the family's 1533-position model. The record is from RNAcentral.